CCUCAGUAACGGCGAGUGAAGCGGCAAAAGCUCAAAUUUGAAAUCUGGCUCUUUUAGGGUCCGAGUUGUAAUUUGUAGAAGAUGUUUCGGGUGUGGCUCCGGUUUAAGUUCUUUGGAAUAUUACAUCAUAGAGGGUGAGAAUCCCGUAUGUGACCGGCAGCCUUCGCCUAUGUGAAACUCUUUCGACGAGUCGAGUUGUUUGGGAAUGCAGCUCAAAAUGGGAGGUAUAUUUCUUCUAAAGCUAAAUAUUGGCCAGAGACCGAUAGCGCACAAGUAGAGUGAUCGAAAGAUGAAAAGCACUUUGGAAAGAGAGUUAAACAGUACGUGAAAUUGUUGAAAGGGAAGCGCUUGCAACCAGACUUGCACGCAGUUGAUCAUCCGGUGUUCUCACCGGGGCACUCUGCUGCGUUCAGGCCAGCAUCGGUUUUGGUGGUUGGAUAAAGGCCUUGGGAAUGUGGCUUCCUUCGGGGAGUGUUAUAGCCCUCGGUGCAAUGCAGCCUACCGGGACCGAGGACCGCGCUUCGGCUAGGAUGCUGGCGUAAUGGUUGUAAGCGACCCGUCUUGAAACACGGACCAAGGAGUCUAACAUCUAUGCGAGUGUUUGGGUGUUAAACCCAUACGCGUAAUGAAAGUGAACGGAGGUGAGAACCCUUAAGGGUGCAUCAUCGACCGGUCCUGAUGUCUUCGGAUGGAUCUGAGUAAGAGCAUAGCUGUUGGGACCCGAAAGAUGGUGAACUAUGCGUGAAUAGGGUGAAGCCAGAGGAAACUCUGGU
Molecule: ribosomal RNA, 773 nt
Filed under: Rhytismatales sp.
Lineage: Eukaryota; Fungi; Ascomycota; Leotiomycetes; Rhytismatales
Description: partial large subunit ribosomal RNA
Rfam family: Eukaryotic large subunit ribosomal RNA
Source: RNAcentral